This 1531-nucleotide long non-coding RNA is filed under the name Mytilus galloprovincialis (Mediterranean mussel). Lineage: Eukaryota; Metazoa; Mollusca; Bivalvia; Mytilida; Mytilidae. The record is from RNAcentral.
AACGAUGAUUAAACAAAAGUGUUUAACAUAUAAUUUUUACAUGAAAAUUUACUCUAUAGCAAUACCCUUAUAGGAUUGAUGGAAUUACCUUAGAUAUAUAGAACAGAUCUUCAUAGGUAUGAUUUAAUGGGUUUACCUGGAGAGCUGUAGAUAGCAUUUAUCUUUACCAUUGUAUCUGUACAUUAGAAUGUUAAUUGUAUGGCCAGUAUGAAAUGGGUCCAUAAUAAUCCAUUUUUUAUUUUGGGUAGUUUAAAGUAUCCAAAACUACAAAUUUUUAAAAGUUUCAGAGUAAAUCUACUUGACAUUGAAAAACGGCAUGGGUUUUCAUAUUUUUGUUGUGAGUUAUUUCUUCUGUGAUAGAUGAUUAAGGUGCAACCUUUUUGCACUAAGAAAUGCUUUUUGCUAAUGUAAUUGUUAAUCAUGUCAAUACUUUUUAAACAAUACCUUUUAUGAUAUAUGAUAAUGGCAUUUUGACAAAGAUUGCUUUUAUAUGAAAUGAAUGGCAUUAUAUUUAUUUAUUUGAUUUAAUAUAUUUCUAAAGAAAUGGGGAAAUUAAAAAAAAAAUUACCGGAAGAUCUUAUACUUUGGGAAUAUUUCCUACUUUAGCUUCUGUAUCUGCUUCUAAAACUGGAUGCAUGCUAGGGGUAUAAAAGGAUUUUUUUUAUCUUUUUUCAAAUCAUUUCUGAAUUAGAACUUCUUAUUGAGAUUUGAAUUUUAUGUUGUUGAAAAUUUAUAGCUUUUACAUAAAUAUAGUACACUUAUUUCAAACGUUUCAAUGUAUACAUAUUUAUCUAGAUUAUAUUAGUGUCUAGUAAUACUAUUUAUACAUUUUUGUGGUGAGCCAGUUUUGGGCAUCAUUUUCCAAAGUCUGCAUAUAGUUAUCAAAGGUACCAGGAUUAUAAUUUAGUAUAUGCCAGACACGCGUUUCGUCUACAUCUGUGUAUAUACAAAAUCAACUAUCUUGUAUCUAUAUGUAGUUUAUUUAUUUGUAAACAUAUGUAAAUAGAAUUUUCCACGGUGAACUUCAUUAUUUUAAAACAAGAUCAUUUUCAUUGGCGGUAAUGAGGUUUAAAGAUAAAUAUUGUGUUAGGAAUAGGCUUAAUAUUCCCUGUCACAAAAAAAAAAUACUUUUGAAAACAUUACCCAGAAUACAUCAGUUUUUAAAAUGAUAGAUUGAAUAUUUUGAAAGUAAUACUGAGGAAAAGUUGCAAAUACUGUGCAUUCAUUAUUAUUCGUUGGGUACCAAUUUUCAUUGUUUUCGUAGGUAAAGGUGAACCACAAAUUCAAAUGAUCAACGAAUUACAUAUUUUCUAUAGGAUGAGUAUGCAGAGUUGAGUAAAACAACAAAAUCAGAUACCCUUGAAGUUUUCUUCAAUCCAUGAAAAUUGAUACCCAGGAAAAUAAAUGAAUCCACAGUACAUGUAUAAAAGCAGUUAUAGCGCUUAUCUGUUCCAUGAAUCAGUGAAAUGUUUUCUUGUUUUGUUUUGAUGUGUUCUUUGAUUAAUGUAUCAUUGAUGUUUAACCUUCAGCC